GAUGAACGCUGGCGGCGUGCCUAAUACAUGCAAGUCGAGCGAACGGACGAGAAGCUUGCUUCUCUGAUGUUAGCGGCGGACGGGUGAGUAACACGUGGAUAACCUACCUAUAAGACUGGGAUAACUUCGGGAAACCGUAGCUAAUACCGGAUAAUAUUUUGAACCGCAUGGUUCAAAAGUGAAAGACGGUCUUGCUGUCACUUAUAGAUGGAUCCGCGCUGCAUUAGCUAGUUGGUAAGGUAACGGCUUACCAAGGCAACGAUGCAUAGCCGACCUGAGAGGGUGAUCGACCACACUGGAACUGAGGCACGGUCCAGACUCCUACGGGAGGCAGCAGUAGGGAAUCUUCCGCAAUGGGCGAAAGCCUGACGGAGCAACGCCGCGUGAGUGAUGAAGGUCUUCGGAUCGUAAAACUCUGUUAUUAGGGAAGAACAUAUGUGUAAGUAACUGUGCACAUCUUGACGGUACCUAAUCAGAAAGCCACGGCUAACUACGUG
Molecule: ribosomal RNA, 497 nt
Filed under: uncultured bacterium
Lineage: Bacteria
Description: partial 16S ribosomal RNA
Rfam family: Bacterial small subunit ribosomal RNA
Source: RNAcentral